This is a non-coding RNA of Nylanderia fulva, 1305 nucleotides long. Lineage: Eukaryota; Metazoa; Arthropoda; Insecta; Hymenoptera; Formicidae. The record is from RefSeq and is a predicted model, not a curated record.
CUUCGCCGUGAGGCGAUUUGUAAUCUCGCACUUUUCGGAAAUGUUUACACUCCUGUCGGCAUAUCAAAAUAACACGAACACGCGACGAUAAAAAAUAUUCAUAUUUAUAUUUUCCGUUAAAAUUGAAAAGAAACUUGAAUAUCGUGCUAUACAUCUCUAAUUGGUCGAUUCAUCAUUAAUUUCUUUUUCGAUUACUGGAACUCGAAUAACAAAAGUAAUGUCAACAAAAAAUAUAUGAAUAACUUUUAAAUAUGAUCGCACGCGCGUCCAUACAUUUAGAAUUGAAAUAAAAUUGAUAAAUCAAAUCAAAUUCAGAAACAUCGUGCAUAGAAUAUCAAAUUCAGGAUUGAUAUUAUUGCUUUGAAAAUAUUGGCUACAAAAUAUUCUAUUACAUAGAUAUUAUUUAUAUUGAAAAACGCAGCUGUUACUUUUUGUUGCCAUUUAAUUCGCGAAAUUGUAUAUAUUUUCUACACAUUCGAUAUUUUUUCACGCUUUUGUCGGAACUUUUCUCGCGCGCUCGUUGCCCGUUCUCCGGAAUUGCAUACAUAUACCUCGAGCGAUUGUCGGGACUCGUUUUUCGUCCCAUGAAAUAGAAAAAAAGAGAAAGCAAAUAAAGAGUAACAGCAAAGAGAGAAUAAUAAAAGAACGAAAUAACAGGAAUAGCAGGAAAACGGAAAGAAAAGUAGAUGGAAAAAAAAAAAAAACGUUGGUGGCAGCAAAUAACACGUACGGAUAUUGUGGUAUCCGAGGCUUCUCCUCGGUUCUCCCCUUAACUUUCUUUCGUUGUUAUUUUUUUUUUACCCUUCGUCCAAGACGCGCGAGACGUCGAUCGUCUCCGCGCUCGCACGCAGCAUCACCGGGGCAUCUCCGGGGGCUCGCGAACCGCAGGCUGUGUGAACCCUGGUUGGCAAACGAGCAAGCAAGAGGGUGGUGGGCUUAAGCGCUCUCUCCUUCCGGCCGAAUUAUACACGCCUACGCGUCUAACAUCCGUAAACUACCGCUUGGCGUGCGACUAUACUACUCUUUCGAGUCCACCCGAGUAACAACACCCCCACUACUUCUUCCUCGUGUGUCGGUUCGAUUCACUAAUCACUAAUAACCACUACUACCCCUCGGCUUGUUGUUGUGUUGAGGCUCUCGCAACCUUAUCAACUGGCGAUCGCAAACGCCUGCAGGCUAUCGCGGUUUCAAGGGUGAGAGCGGUGUGACAUUGGCGAGAGGUGUUCUCGGCAUUCCGGGUCCGAAGGGUGAGCCCGGCGAACGGGGUUACCAAGGCGAAAAGGGCGGCAAGGGAGACGCGGGUUC